GAGUUUGAUUAUGGCUCAGGAUGAACGCUGGCGGCGUGCGUAACACAUGCAAGUUGGACGACGGUAUCAUGAAGUGGUAACACGGAGUGAUAUACGGAGUAGCGGACGGGUGAGUAUAACAUGAGAAGCUGUCCUGUCGAGGGGGAUAGCGUUCGGAAACGGACCCUAAUACCCCAUAGGCCUUAGGGUUAAAGCAGCGAUGCGCGACAGGGGGUGCUCGUGACCUAUCAGCUGGUUGGUGAGGUAAUGGCUCACCAAGGCGACGACGGGUAGCCGGCCUGAGAGGGUGACCGGCCACACUGGAACUGAGAUACGGUCCAGACUCCUACGGGAGGCAGCAGUGGGGAAUAUUGGGCAAUGGGAGGAAUCCUGACCCAGCGACGCCGCGUGAACGAAGAAGGCCUUCGGGUCGUAAAGUUCUUUUAUGUGGGAAGAAGGAAGUGACG
This 446-nucleotide ribosomal RNA is filed under the name Synergistales bacterium canine oral taxon 094. Its description in RNAcentral is "bacterial SSU rRNA". It matches the Rfam family "Bacterial small subunit ribosomal RNA", at positions 9 to 474 of the family's 1533-position model. The record is from RNAcentral. Lineage: Bacteria; Thermotogati; Synergistota; Synergistia; Synergistales.